Molecule: unclassified non-coding RNA, 911 nt
Filed under: uncultured Prochlorococcus sp.
Lineage: Bacteria; Bacillati; Cyanobacteriota; Cyanophyceae; Synechococcales; Prochlorococcaceae
Description: partial may contain 16S ribosomal RNA, 16S-23S ribosomal RNA intergenic spacer, and 23S ribosomal RNA
Rfam family: tRNA (bases 340-412)
Source: RNAcentral
CGCCGAAGGUGGGGCUAAUGACUGGGGUGAAGUCGUAACAAGGUAGCCGUACCGGAAGGUGCGGCUGGAUCACCUCCUAACAGGGAGACAACAACUGAUUUUGAUGCCUGAAUUAUUUAUUUUUAGGCCAUAAUCCUGUCACCUUAGGUCGAUCGGUACCUCAGUUUUAUAUUGGAAAAACUAAGAAAUUAGUUUCUAAAAUCUUAAAAUUCAGUUCCUAAACUUUGUCUAGGUCACACCCAACAAGGGUACUCCUGGGCCAUUAGCUCAGGUGGUUAGAGCGCACCCCUGAUAAGGGUGAGGUCCCUGGUUCAAGUCCAGGAUGGCCCAUUCGGUGUUGGGGGUAUAGCUCAGUUGGUAGAGCGCCUGCUUUGCAAGCAGGAUGUCAGCGGUUCGAGUCCGCUUACCUCCACUGAUCACCUCCUGAUGACGAUGCUUAAGGAGAACUUUUGUUUGAUUUGAUCUAGAAUUUGUUCUUGAUGAAUGAACCUAGCUUCUUGUCAUACCUUCUGAAAUUUUUUCAAGGUUGAUAGGAUGCUGGGCUCUCUGCAAUUUAAUUGCAGUGAUGUUCAGUAGAACCUUGACAACUGCAUAGGUAAGUCUGGAAAGAAUAAAGCAUCUCAUGGAUGCAUUGUUUUUUUGGGUCAACUAUUAGGAUUCUGAUUUAAUUGGAAUUUUCGUUUGACUUGAAUUGAUAAUGUUUGAUUCUUGAGCAAGAGCCGAGACUCUAUAACGCCCUUUCAUUGCUUAAUUGCUAAUGAGAGUUCGAUUUUUAAUUUUCCUUUUUGAUACUAAUGUAUUAGAUUAUUUCUAUUGUAUUAGAUCAAAUUAACUCGAAAAUUAAAGAGAAAAGUGUUAACAACACAUAGCGUUUUAGAGAUUAUAUGGUCAAGCUACAAAGGGCUCACGGU